Non-coding RNA from Picea glauca (white spruce), 122 nucleotides. NCBI's taxonomy places the organism in Eukaryota, Viridiplantae, Streptophyta, Pinopsida, Pinales, Pinaceae. The record is from Rfam.
AUGUAAUGUAAUGCCUACAAUGUUAAUGCAUUGGAUCCCAUUAGAACUCUAUAGUUAAGAUCUUUUGGGCUAGAGUAGUACUAGGAUGGAUGAGCUCCCAGGAAGUCCUAGUGUUUUACAUG